AGCUUUGCGCAGUGGCAGUAUCGUAGCCAAUGAGGUUUAUCCGAGGCGCGAUUAUUGCUAAUUGAAACAUAUGCGCUAUGUACUCUUAAUAUUUCAUAUUUUGUUUUGUUCAUUUUAUUUAAGA
This 124-nucleotide small nuclear RNA is filed under the name Mustela putorius furo (domestic ferret). Its description in RNAcentral is "U4 spliceosomal RNA". It matches the Rfam family "U4 spliceosomal RNA". Rfam says of the family: U4 small nuclear RNA (U4 snRNA) is a component of the major U2-dependent spliceosome. Lineage: Eukaryota; Metazoa; Chordata; Mammalia; Carnivora; Mustelidae. The record is from Rfam by way of RNAcentral.